RNAcentral lists this ribosomal RNA (309 nucleotides) under Triticum aestivum (bread wheat). Its description in RNAcentral is "partial small subunit ribosomal RNA". The record is from RNAcentral. Lineage: Eukaryota; Viridiplantae; Streptophyta; Magnoliopsida; Poales; Poaceae.
AUGGACAUGCCAACUACCUCCCCGGGGCAAAGCUUGUGGUCAAGGUCAACCCUUAUCUUAUGGUUGCUGGGUUUUCAUUCAGACAAUGUCAACAUCAAGGCCACAACAGUGCUGCAUAAUCCACUAAGUAUUCUAUGGAGCUCUAGAAGAAAAGCCAAGGCACUGCAUGGAAACUGCAAAGCAAACUUAUGGUGGGAUGUAAGAUCAGUAGAAAAAAAACCUACAGUUUCUCUUCUUUUUUUGAGGGGGCCUGCAUUUUCUCUCACACAGAAAGAAAUAGGAAAAACGAAAAGAAAAACAAUUGCGUAA